RNAcentral lists this ribosomal RNA (249 nucleotides) under uncultured bacterium. RNAcentral's name for it is "partial 16S ribosomal RNA". It matches the Rfam family "Bacterial small subunit ribosomal RNA", at positions 524 to 776 of the family's 1533-position model. The record is from RNAcentral.
UACGUAGGGUGCGAGCGUUGUCCGGAUUUAUUGGGCGUAAAGAGCUCGUAGGCGGUUUGUCGCGUCUGCCGUGAAAGUCCGGGCUCAACUCCGGAUCUGCGGUGGUACGGGCAGACUAGAGUGAUGUAGGGGAGACUGGAAUUCUGGUGUAGCGGUGAAAUGCGCAGAUAUCAGAGGAACACCGGUGGCGAAGGCGGGUCUCUGGGCCGUAACUGACGCUGAGGAGCGAAAGCAUGGGGAGCGAACAGG